AGUGAACGCUGGCGGUAGGCCUAACACAUGCAAGUCGAACGGCAGCACAGUAAGAGCUUGCUCUUACGGGUGGCGAGUGGCGUACGGGUGAGGAAUACAUCGGAAUCUACUUUUUCGUGGGGGAUAACGUAGGGAAACUUACGCUAAUACCGCAUACGACCUACGGGUGAAAGCAGGGGAUCUUCGGACCUUGCGCGAUUGAAUGAGCCGAUGUCGGAUUAGCUAGUUGGCGGGGUAAAGGCCCACCAAGGCGACGAUCCGUAGCUGGUCUGAGAGGAUGAUCAGCCACACUGGAACUGAGACACGGUCCAGACUCCUAAGGGAGGCAGCAGUGGGGAAUAUUGGACAAUGGGCGCAAGCCUGAUCCAGCCAUACCGCGUGGGUGAAGAAGGCCUUCGGGUUGUAAAGCCCUUUUGUUGGGAAAGAAAAGCAGCAGGUUAAUACCCCGCUGUUCUGACGGUACCCAAAGAAUAAGCACCGGCUAACUUCGUG
Molecule: ribosomal RNA, 492 nt
Filed under: uncultured bacterium
Lineage: Bacteria
Description: partial 16S ribosomal RNA
Rfam family: Bacterial small subunit ribosomal RNA
Source: RNAcentral